UACGUAGGUGGCAAGCGUUGUCCGGAUUUAUUGGGCUUAAAGGGUGCGUAGGCGGUCUAUUAAGUCAGUGCUGAAAUAUCCCGGCUUAACCGGGAGGGUGGCAUUGAUACUGAUGGACUUGAGUAAAGUUGAGGUAGGCGGAAUUGACGGUGUAGCGGUGAAAUGCUUAGAUAUCGUCAAGAACACCGAUAGUGUAGACAGCUUACUAAGCUUUAACUGACGCUGAGGCACGAAAGUGUGGGGAUCAAACAGG
Molecule: ribosomal RNA, 253 nt
Filed under: uncultured bacterium
Lineage: Bacteria
Description: partial 16S ribosomal RNA
Rfam family: Bacterial small subunit ribosomal RNA
Source: RNAcentral